AAAGAUUAAAUAAUUCAUCAAACUAGUCCAUAGACUAUCAUUCUCUCCCCCAUAGUUUAAGGACUAAAUUGGACAGAUAAUUGGAGAGAAUGAUAGUUUAGGGACUAAAUUGAUGGUUUAUUCAUCAAU
Molecule: microRNA precursor, 129 nt
Filed under: Medicago truncatula (barrel medic)
Lineage: Eukaryota; Viridiplantae; Streptophyta; Magnoliopsida; Fabales; Fabaceae
Description: miR5741b stem-loop (mtr-MIR5741b)
Source: miRBase by way of RNAcentral